Molecule: ribosomal RNA, 435 nt
Filed under: uncultured bacterium
Lineage: Bacteria
Description: bacterial SSU rRNA
Rfam family: Bacterial small subunit ribosomal RNA
Source: RNAcentral
GACGAACGCUGGCGGCGCGCCUAACACAUGCAAGUCGAACGAGCGAGAGAGAGCUUGCUUUCUCAAGCGAGUGGCGAACGGGUGAGUAACGCGUGAGGAACCUGCCUCAAAGAGGGGGACAACAGUUGGAAACGACUGCUAAUACCGCAUAAGCCCACGACCCGGCAUCGGGUAGAGGGAAAAGGAGCAAUCCGCUUUGAGAUGGCCUCGCGUCCGAUUAGCUAGUUGGUGAGGUAACGGCCCACCAAGGCGACGAUCGGUAGCCGGACUGAGAGGUUGAACGGCCACAUUGGGACUGAGACACGGCCCAGACUCCUACGGGAGGCAGCAGUGGGGAAUAUUGCACAAUGGGGGAAACCCUGAUGCAGCGACGCCGCGUGGAGGAAGAAGGUCUUCGGAUUGUAAACUCCUGUUGUUGAGGAAGAUAAUGACGGU